Molecule: ribosomal RNA, 491 nt
Filed under: uncultured bacterium
Lineage: Bacteria
Description: partial 16S ribosomal RNA
Rfam family: Bacterial small subunit ribosomal RNA
Source: RNAcentral
AGUGAACGCUGGCGGUAGGCCUAACACAUGCAAGUCGAACGGCAGCACAGUAAGAGCUUGCUCUUACGGGUGGCGAGUGGCGGACGGGUGAGGAAUACAUCGGACUCUACUUUUUCGUGGGGGAUAACGUAGGGAAACUUACGCUAAUACCGCAUACGACCUACGGGUGAAAGCAGGGGAACUUCGGACCUUGCGCGAUUGAAUGAGCCGGUGUCGGAUUAGCUAGUUGGCGGGGUAACGGCCCACCAAGGCGACGAUCCGUAGCUGGUCUGUGAGGAUGGUCAGCCACACUGGAGCUGAGCCGCGGUCCAGACUCCUACGGGCGGCAGCGGUGGGGACGAUUGGACACUGGGCGCAAGCCUGAUCCAGCCAUACCGCGUGGGUGAAGAAGGCCUUCGGGUUGUAAAGCCCUUUUGUUGGGAAAGAAAAGCAGCAGGUUAAUACCCCGCUGUUCUGACGGUACCCAAAGAAUAAGCACCGGCUAACUUCGU